RNAcentral lists this ribosomal RNA (1348 nucleotides) under Triticum aestivum (bread wheat). RNAcentral describes it as "partial small subunit ribosomal RNA". The record is from RNAcentral. Lineage: Eukaryota; Viridiplantae; Streptophyta; Magnoliopsida; Poales; Poaceae.
GAGAAGAAGAGAGACGCUCUUCGCUCUGAGGCUGGGCUAAGUGUAGAGGAGGUAAGAGAGGAGAGGAGAGGAGAGGAGAGGCGGCGGUGGAGGGAGAGUGCCUGGAGCGGCGGCCGGUACCGGAGGGGGCGGGAGAGGACUAGUCUGCUGUCCUCUAGGCGGCACAGGCGCUGCCUCGUCCAGCGGGAGGGCGCUCGGGGUGGUGGAUGCGGCCAGCUAAGGUCGGCUUAGACCGCCGCGGGUCGUGGGAGGGCACUUGCGGAGGGAGGCGAGGCAGGAGGAGAGGCUGGGUCCGCCUGAGGUCGUCGGUGGGUGGUUGUCGGGAGGGGCACCGCACGGAUCCCAAAGCCGGACGCACAGCGGCCGCUGAGAAGAACCGGCACUAGGCGGUGUUGGCGCCGCUGGAGCUGCCUAGACGCCGCGUCGUCGCUCCCAGUGAAGGAGGCUGGACGUCGCUGGUAUCACUGUGCCUAAGGUAGACCGCGGGAGGUGCCUACUGCUGUAGUGGUACCUCUACCUCGUCGACGUCGUAGUGGUUGAGUGGGCUACGUACGUCUACGUCGCGUCCGUCUUCUCCUACUGCGGGUCGAUACCUAAAACUCGCCGUCGACGAGUUCUUUACUCCGGACGUCUCGAUUAUCGUCGAUGCGCGCUCCGACAGCGACGGCCACCGUUAAGCCCAUAGAGGAGUUUGUUCCGCUGCCCCUCGUCAACCAGGCAGCCGAUCCAAUUAGAAAGAGCCCUGUUCCGACUCCACUCGAAACUCACAGUCCAACAACAAAAACACAAAAUUCAUCAACAUCGAAGACAACGAAGCUGUUGGCAAGAUAGAAAACUCCGAAACUAGUAACAAACACAAUAGUGACAGGCUUCGUGAUUGCCACCUGAGGGAGGAGACGACCCACAUGGAACUGAUACUUGGGAAGAGGACACCUACUAGUUCACGAACACUAUUCAAAGAGGACCUACAUGAACUCAAGUAAAAGUUCUUAAGGUCAAGUUUCCGAAAGACAACAGGACAUUGUCACAGGUUGUAGUGCAAACUGAAACUGCAGAUGAAGCGUGUUGAGAUCGUGACAGGAAGUAUAUCCGUUGUUAGUCUAAGGAGAAGAAAAAAUAUUAAAUACUAACGUGUAGGAUUGAUCAUACACUAGUAAUCGAACUUGGUGGGACAGUAUUCAAUGUACAGAUACUAUGAACAAAACAAAGACGACGCUGACAUAACUUGGUAACCAAAGUACUUCUUUAGACCCUCAUGGGAAAAAAUCAUCUUUUGUUGAAAACAUCUAGCAAAGUUCAAUGUACCCACUUCUUCCUACCUAAAUAUAUGCUUCCUGUAUUGAAACGG